Long non-coding RNA from Branchiostoma floridae (Florida lancelet), 687 nucleotides. RefSeq lists it as uncharacterized. The record is from RefSeq and is a predicted model, not a curated record. NCBI's taxonomy places the organism in Eukaryota, Metazoa, Chordata, Leptocardii, Amphioxiformes, Branchiostomatidae. The transcript is spliced from 3 exons.
UGAAUAAUUCAGUGUGAAAGAGUAUAUAAUCAGCUUCCUGUCUCCACGUCUUCAUUCCGACAUCUCCAGAGGUAAAGCAGAUCGCUGAAACCCCGAAAACUUCUACACCAUGAAGCUGUUUGUCAGUAUGCUGCUUGUGACGAUGGUUGUCACCGCAAUGCUGAUUGAUGACUCCGCUGGGCAUCGGAGACGGCGGAGCUCGAGGCGCCGCUGGGUAGAUGGCCAGGCGGCCGUGAUGGAGGUUGUGGAAGAGGCGAGGGAGCUCCUGGACGAUCUGGCUGAUCUGCAGGAGGACGCGAAGGCUGAGCAGAUGAUGGAGCUGGAGGAUCUUGGUCAGGAGAAGGAUGAUUAUGCCCGCAGGAGACGCUAACUCCUACCGCUAACAGCCUACCGGACAACCUGAAGACCGGAGGUUUCAGUGGCACCAAAAGGCCAGGAUCAAACUUUAGGUUUAUGUAAAGCAAUGGUUUUGUAAUGAUCCUUAUGAACAUUGAGUUGUAUUAUCUGCGUUCAUAUUGAGUGUUCGCUGUCGAAUUUCGCUUAUUUCUUCCAAUUUGUAAUAUCACCUGCCUAAUUCAUAAGACAAAAUAUAAAAUAGUAUAAUAUAAACAGUUUCCGAUCCUGGAAUGGAUAGCAAGAAUACUGUGUGCUCGGUGGUUAUUCAAUAAAACCUAAUGGGAAAAAACA